This 69-nucleotide transfer RNA is filed under the name Torpedo marmorata (marbled electric ray). RNAcentral describes it as "tRNA-Met". It matches the Rfam family "tRNA". Rfam says of the family: Transfer RNA (tRNA) molecules are approximately 80 nucleotides in length. Their secondary structure includes four short double-helical elements and three loops (D, anti-codon, and T loops). Further hydrogen bonds mediate the characteristic L-shaped molecular structure. tRNAs have two regions of fundamental functional importance: the anti-codon, which is responsible for specific mRNA codon recognition, and the 3' end, to which the tRNAs corresponding amino acid is attached (by aminoacyl-tRNA synthetases). tRNAs cope with the degeneracy of the genetic code in two manners: having more than one tRNA (with a specific anti-codon) for a particular amino acid; and 'wobble' base-pairing, i.e. permitting non-standard base-pairing at the 3rd anti-codon position. Lineage: Eukaryota; Metazoa; Chordata; Chondrichthyes; Torpediniformes; Torpedinidae. The record is from RNAcentral.
AGUAAAGUCAGCUAAUCAAGCUUUUGGGCCCAUACCCCAACCAUGUUGGUUAAAAUCCUUCCUCUACUA